GUGGAUCUGGCUCAACUGGUACAGCACUGGUCUCGAAAACCGGCAGGCGAAAUGGUUCGUCGUGAGGGUUCGACUCCCUCGGUCCACG
This 88-nucleotide transfer RNA is filed under the name Enterocloster bolteae. Its description in RNAcentral is "tRNA-Ser". It matches the Rfam family "tRNA". From Rfam's summary of the family: Transfer RNA (tRNA) molecules are approximately 80 nucleotides in length. Their secondary structure includes four short double-helical elements and three loops (D, anti-codon, and T loops). Lineage: Bacteria; Bacillati; Bacillota; Clostridia; Lachnospirales; Lachnospiraceae. RNAcentral also lists the same sequence under 1 other name. The record is from RNAcentral.